Long non-coding RNA from Zophobas morio, 1063 nucleotides. RefSeq lists it as uncharacterized. NCBI's taxonomy places the organism in Eukaryota, Metazoa, Arthropoda, Insecta, Coleoptera, Tenebrionidae. The transcript is spliced from 2 exons. The record is from RefSeq and is a predicted model, not a curated record.
UCCAUAAGGUUGUAACCACUCCCUAGUGUAAAUUUUUAAAAAGUAUUCAGUGUAAAUCUGUCUUUUAGUAGCCUGGUGACAUAUUUGGUGACCUGUCAAUAUAAUGUCAGUUCAUUCAUGUAUUCGCGACACAUGAUUACGUUCGACUUCACUGCAAUUCUUGCACUCCUGCACAGGUUAUUUCAUAAUUAUCAUUGUAACUUGUCGCAAUAUUGUAAAAACUGAUAAACAAUUUUCAAUAAAAGCAGGAUGACCUGAGUCUUCAUGGUAAUUAUAAUACAAGAGCAACGAUAAAUAGAAACGUGUUUUAUCUUUCAUCUGUAGAAAGAAUGCCACCUGCUGUAAUUUAGACUUGCAGUCGAUACGUUUACGAAUUACGAUAAAAUGAACCCAAAAAUAUUGUGGUCACGAAUGAAAUCAAAUAUUGGGCUGGUAAAAAAACAAGAUGGGGAAUAACUGAGAUAUUCAAAAUUUGUUUAAAUUAUUGUACAUGAGUAUACGUGAUAAUUAUAUGUGUGGCUAACUAUGAUAUGACUCGAAAGAUCAGCUCUCUUGACUGAAAUGAUCAAUCUCGCGAGCAACACCAAAAUUGUCUAUAAUGGGUAGAUCACCUUAAUUAGUUGCAAUGGAAUUUUUCAUCAAAAAAAUGGGACACCAACAAGUCUUUAAUGUUAUGUUUAAUAACUCUAAUAUUUGGUACUACUUGUUAUUUACAAAAUGUACAAGGAAUUUGGUUGAAGGCGAUAGGUCUGGCUAUGCUCCUCCGUCCUGACGAUUUUAGUGGUAGUAAUGAACAAAAUGUAACUUCUCAAAAUUCAGAGGCUAAAAUAAUAGGUAUGUUGAAAAUAAUUUGACGGCUUAUUUAAACUUACUGUUACAGGAGUGGUUAGAAACAUUGGGAACACAUAGACCAAAUAACCAAAAAGCAAUUAUUUUUCUGUUGUUAACUUUCUUAAAUCUGAAUCCCAUGGAUUUUAAUACUCAACGUAAAGUAUUUAAACUUGCUGUAUAUUCUGGAUGUUCUUUCGCAAAAAUAAACAAAUCCUGAAGAGUAAAAAACUCA